AGAUUGAACGCUGGCGGCAUGCUUUACACAUGCAAGUCGAACGGUAACAGGCCGCAAGGUGCUGACGAGUGGCGAACGGGUGAGUAAUGUAUCGGAACGUGCCCAGUCGUGGGGGAUAACGCAGCGAAAGCUGCGCUAAUACCGCAUACGAUCUAUGGAUGAAAGUCGGGGGACCUAAGGCCUCGCGCGGUUGGAGCGGCCGAUAUCAGUAUUAGGGUAGUUGGGUGGGUAAAGGCUCACCAAGCCAACGAUCUGUAGCUGGUCUGAGAGGACGACCAGCCACACCUGGGACUGAGACACGGCCCAGACCUCCGUACGGGAGCAGCAGUGGGGAAUUUUGGACAAGUGGGCGCAAGCCCUGACUCCAGCAAGUCGCCGCGUGACGAAGGAAGAACGGUCCUUUGGGUUACGUAAAC
RNAcentral lists this ribosomal RNA (416 nucleotides) under uncultured soil bacterium. Its description in RNAcentral is "bacterial SSU rRNA". It matches the Rfam family "Bacterial small subunit ribosomal RNA", at positions 26 to 430 of the family's 1533-position model. The record is from RNAcentral.